AUGGGGCUGCUGCCGAACGGCGCGAAGAGGCUGAAGUUGGCCAUGAUGGUCGGCUCCGUCAGCGGCAGCAGCGACAGCUCCUGGGAACAGAGUGGUGAGGGGGGGAGACAGGGGCAAAGGAAGCCCCCCUGCCACACCCCGGCCCGCAGCCAUACCUGCUUCAGCUGCUUCAUGAGGGCCUCGCCUGGACGCAGCCCCUCAUCCUUCCGCAGCUUCUUGCGGGACGCGAGGGCCUCGCCGGGACGCAGCCCCUCAUCCUUCCGCAGCUUCUUGCGGGACGCUGGGAUCCGCUCGUUGCCUUUCUGCACCCGCUUAGGCUUGGUGGGUGCCGGCUUCCUGGCGAUGGAGGGGUCCUGGGGAGGGGCAAGGAAGGGUGAGAUGCGCCAGCACAGCCCCUCACCCACCACGCCCCCAGGCCAGCCUCUCCUGCUCACCUCCCGGCCCAGCAGCAGCGACUGCGGCCGCGGCUCCGGCCCAGUGCUCCGGUUCUCCACGUGCCCAUUGAGCUCGCCCGGGCUCUGCGCUGACAGCUGCACGUUCUUGGCCCGCAGUAGCUUCUGCAGCAGCAGGUGCCCAGCCUCAGAGCGCCCACCUGGGGCCAGCAGGCUGUUGGCUUGGCUGUCCCCAGGGUCCCCAUUGGCCUCUGGUUUCGCUGUCUCGCCUCCAUCCACCUCACACUGUGCCGCUGCCGCCGCCUCUUCCUUCGGCUCCUGCUUCACCAACACCGGGGGGGCUUCGCCUCCUGCAGGGGCCCCCUCUGGCGCAGCCCCAUUGAUGUGGGUCUCAGCAGGGUCAGCUGGGUCCGCCCCAGGCGCAUCAGGGUCCCAGGGGCCGUGUGCUGGGUCGGGAAGGGCAGCGCUUGGCGUGGGAGUCAGCCCUGGUUCUGUGGGGGCCGCAGGGCUGGGGGCCAAGGCCGGGACUCCCGGUGACGUCUUCUUUGGCUCUUGGGGGCUCUGCUCAGGGCUGGCCAGGUGCUGGGGGGCACAGCCCAGGGGUGAGGGGGCUGGUGGCGUGGGGAGGCGGAUGAGGCCGGGCUGGGGGCCACGGGCAGCCAGAGCUGCCUGA
This 1065-nucleotide long non-coding RNA is filed under the name Ficedula albicollis (Collared flycatcher). RNAcentral's name for it is "lncRNA (ENSFALG00000028663.1)". The record is from RNAcentral. Lineage: Eukaryota; Metazoa; Chordata; Aves; Passeriformes; Muscicapidae.